CAUUGUUCUAAGGGGAAGAACUCCUCACAAGGUAAAACAUUGAAUCCAAACUUAGGGGAAAAAGUUGAUCUGCUCUGAUCACUGACUUCAGAAUGGCCUGGAGUAACUACAAUGGUAGGGAACCUCCUCAGAAGCCAAGUAGCCUCUGACUGCAAUGUCACUUUUUUGGCAUGGUCUUUGGCUGAAGUAGGCUGCAUAUUCUCUUUUUUUGCCACAGGAAUCCUGACCACUUCUGCUUCAUAUCUUAGGUAUGUAGCUUAUGGUCCAGGUCUGCAAGGAGCACCUGGCCCAACAUGGUUACAAGGUCAGCUUCUCAGGGAAAGAAGCCCUUGCCUAUGCCAUUAGAGUUUGUCUGACUCCUCAGAGUGCAGGUGUGUGUGCAAGCACACCAGUGUGUCCUUGCAUGUAUGUGUGUGGAGGGGAUGGGGGCUGAAGGGUAGGGGACACAAUGGAAGGGCUGGGGCUGAAUUCUGUUCUGUUUUUCUUCAUUCAUCUUCUGGUUGUGGUAUAAUGGCUUCGCUUCUCUUCCUCUUUGACUCCUAGGAAGUGAAUACUGUGCCGACUGAGCAUAAACCUGCCUCUGUGACGUCCUUCACAUUGCACUCCUGAUGGUGUGGAGGCUGAGGCCAGACCUCUCCAAGGGACUGGAUCUUCUGAAAAACUUGGGAUGUCAGCUCCCCUGAGGCUAGAAAUGGAGGUUAAGUGGGGACUGCAAAUUCAUGGCUACCAAAAUGAGUCCUGGCAAAAGUCACCACAUUUCUUUCCCCAUGCCUAAUGGGAAUAUCAGUUAUACUGUGCCUCAAAACAUUUAACAGCCGGAACCAAUUAGUUUUCAUCAACUCUUUGUUGGGUUUGGUCCAGGUUUGUGGAUAUCAUUCUGUUUAGGCAUUUAGCAUCCUACCUGUGACUGCAACCCUAGCUGUCUGUUUGCCCAAGGUGCACAUGUACUUCUUCAAAUUUGGUUUCUGAGUGAGAGGGAUGAGCUCCAGGAAGCCAUUUCUGUGUAAUAAGAACUGGUCUUGGCAUCCACCUCAAGCCAGCUGGCUAGAGUACAAUAUACAUAUGCUAACAGCCACCUCUUGAUAUAUUAUUGGAAGUGAGACAAAAUCACCAGGUAAAUGGAAGGUAUCUGAGAAAUUCAGUACCUAGAAUGUCUCUUCUAAAGUGAUAGAAGUCAAUGUCAAUAGCACCCUUUUCAUUUAGAAAAGUUUUUCUCAUUUUAGGCCCUUCAGGGGUGAGUCUGACUAGAAGACUUCCCCAAAGGUUACUCGUCUUUAAGUUCUCUUUUAUACAGCUGUAUUCUACCUGAUGCAUGUGCCUCUCAUAGCUGAAGAGAACCGAGGUAGUUCUCCUGGGUGACUGGAAUGAGGGCUGGAAAAAGAGAGUGCCAUUUCAUUUAUAACCCCAUGAAGGAAUGAAAACAGCUCUUGGGCAUUAACUCUAUUGGGAUUUUUUUUUUUUUUUUGCUUUGAAACAGGUAAAGACAGACCUAUCCUUUGAUGGGAUCUGUCAUGGUGACCUGGUCUCUAAGAAAGCUGUGACUGUCUUUUCAAGAAAGCAGUCUAUUGAUGUCUGUCUCUGAUCCAGUCCACUAUCUUGAUCAACUGGUCUCCCAUGUCACACCACUGGAGAAGAGAAGAACCAAGACUUCAGUGCAUUUGUCACUUGCUUACCUUCCAGAGAAACCAGAUCACCAUACCCAGAUCAGUGAUUGUCAAAUGUGCAAAUAUGUCUCUGUGAAUGUGACUUUAAUAUGUUGCUGCUCUCAUGGAAAAAGAAUGUGAAAUCCUCACAGGACAUUAUAUCUUACAAACAAAAUCUAUUUUUUUUUUUUUAAUUUUAAGAAUAGAGUUUGGGCUUUAAUUAUUACUUUUUUUUUCACUCAAAUGCUCACUUACUGGGCAAAAGUCUGGGUAGCAAGAAAAAUAAUGAGAUUCAGCUUUUCCUAAAUGGUUCUUUUAUACUGUGGAUGGUGCAGGAGACUGUUACUGACUAUGUGAAGAGCUGGGCUGGAGGCAGCUCAGCAUCUGGCAACUGGGAGCUUAUUUUAUAUGCACAAAGCUGCCUUCAGAAGGCUCCUUACUCUGCUCUGUAGCAGAUGGUUUUCAUCUGGCUGCUUGUAGCAUGCUGUACUGUAUUGAUUUGUUCUUCUGAUGCAGAUUUCUUUCUGCAUCUAAAUAUACUGUUUUCUGAUUAUUAAUGUUUUAUUUAGUUAUUUAUUUAUCCAUACAAAGCAUUUUUAUAUCAGCAUUUGCAUGUAUUUAAUCAGAAUGUAAUAUAAUUUGUGUUGUCAGCUUUUUGGUAGAGGCCUAGAUGGUUUGAACUUUUAAGUCUAAUGUCCGUAGUGUUCCUUAAGUUUUCAGAAUGUGGAUAUCUGUAAAAGGAUAGUAACUAUGUAAAAGCACAGUGGACUUUUUUUGAGCACUUUUUUCCUCAUUGAUUUUUAGUAUAAACCAAGAGAUGCAUUUCUCUGGAGAAAUGUUCAUCUCCUGGAUAAAUAAAAUCAUGCUAAAAUAUGUGAGUAAUAUGUAUUUUUGUGCAAUAAGAAAACACAAUAAAAAUUAUUUUAAUUAAAAUACAUUAAUUUUUUAAAUCAUA
RNAcentral lists this long non-coding RNA (2598 nucleotides) under Marmota monax (woodchuck). The record is from RNAcentral. Lineage: Eukaryota; Metazoa; Chordata; Mammalia; Rodentia; Sciuridae.